Molecule: ribosomal RNA, 253 nt
Filed under: uncultured bacterium
Lineage: Bacteria
Description: partial 16S ribosomal RNA
Rfam family: Bacterial small subunit ribosomal RNA
Source: RNAcentral
GACGAAGGGUCCUAGCGUUGUUCGGAAUCACUGGGCGUAAAGCGCAUGUAGGCGGCUUUUCAAGUCAGGUGUGAAAGCCCACGGCUUAACCGUGGAAGUGCAUUUGAAACUGUAAAGCUUGAGUAUGGGAGAGGAUGGUAGAAUUCCUGGUGUAGUGGUGAAAUACGUAGAUAUCAGGAGGAAUACCGGUGGCGAAGGCGGCCAUCUGGCCUAAUACUGACGCUGAGAUGCGAAAGUGAGGGGAUCAAACAGG